Molecule: unclassified non-coding RNA, 539 nt
Filed under: Hevea brasiliensis (rubber tree)
Lineage: Eukaryota; Viridiplantae; Streptophyta; Magnoliopsida; Malpighiales; Euphorbiaceae
Source: RNAcentral
AAGAGAGGUAACCGAGUCACCAUAAAUUUAAUAUAUAGAUUAUUAAUUUAUUUAAUUAAUGAAAAGAAAAGAGAUGCCACGUGGAAUGUUGUCAGACAGAAAGUCAAAGUUUGACUGAGUCACGAAGGAAUUGAAAUUCAUUAAUUAGGUUAUUAGUAAAGAAUUGUGUAAAGAAUAAGAAAACGCAGUGGUGAUAGCGUGCGGUCACCGUCUAGCAGACCAGUCCUCGGAGCAUUCUCCGAUAAUUAAUUAAAUAAUUAUGAAAGACGUGGCGGAAUCUUAUUGCUUAAUCUGUUCUGAUAAAGGCACGAGAUUCAUGCUGCAAUAUCAAUGCAGAGUAUCAGCUCGUACCUGAUUCCCCGUAUAUGGGCUGUACUUUUAAUUCAUAGUCUGUUCAUGAUAUGGGUUUGGGUUGCGGAUAGGAUCUUGUACACACAGUAACAUAAUUUCAAAUCAGUUCUGUUUAGAACCGUUUGAUGUAAUUAUUUUGACAUUUGAUGAACGGUUGUGAUAUGCAGAAUGCAGUGGAGCAGCCACCA